This 468-nucleotide ribosomal RNA is filed under the name uncultured bacterium. RNAcentral's name for it is "partial 16S ribosomal RNA". It matches the Rfam family "Bacterial small subunit ribosomal RNA", at positions 28 to 507 of the family's 1533-position model. The record is from RNAcentral.
GACGAACGCUGGCGGCGUGCUUAACACAUGCAAGUCGAACGGAAAGGCCCUGCUUUUGUGGGGUGCUCGAGUGGCGAACGGGUGAGUAACACGUGAGUAACCUGCCCUUGACUUUGGGAUAACUUCAGGAAACUGGGGCUAAUACCGGAUAGGAGCUCCUGCUGCAUGGUGGGGGUUGGAAAGUUUCGGCGGUUGGGGAUUGACUCGCGGCUUAUCAGCUUGUUGGUGGGGUAGUGGCUUACCAAGGCUUUGACGGGUAGCCGGCAUGAGAGGGUGACCGGCCACAUUGGGAUUGAGAUACGGCCCAGACUCCUACGGGGGACAGCAGUGGGAAAUAUUGCACAAUGCGCGGAAGCCUGAUGCAGCAACGCCGCGUGCCGGAUGACGGCCUUCGGGUUGUAAACCGCUUUCGCCUGUGACGAAGAGUGAAUGACGGUAAUGGGUAAAGAAGCACCGGCUAACUACGUG